Molecule: ribosomal RNA, 1118 nt
Filed under: uncultured organism
Description: bacterial SSU rRNA
Rfam family: Bacterial small subunit ribosomal RNA
Source: RNAcentral
UAGUUGGUGAGGUAACGGCUCACCAAGGCAACGAUGGGUAGCCGGCCUGAGAGGGUGACCGGCCACACUGGGACUGAGAUACGGCCCAGACUCCUACGGGAGGCAGCAGUGAGGAAUAUUGCGCAAUGGCCGAAAGGCUGACGCAGCAACGCCGCGUGGGUGAUGACGCUCCAAGGAGUGUAAAGCCCUGUUAGGAGGGAAGAACGACAUUGGCGUGAAUAAUGUCAAUGCAUGACGGUACCUCCAGAGAAAGCCCCGGCUAACUCCGUGCCAGCAGCCGCGGUAAUACGGGGGGGGCAAGCGUUGUCCGGAAUUAUUGGGCGUAAAGGGCGCGUAGGCGGAAUAAUAAGUCAGAGGUGAAAACCAUGGGCUUAACUUAUGGCUUGCCUUUGAAACUGUUAUUCUUGAGUGCGGAAGAGGGAAGUGGAAUUCCUGGUGUAGCGGUGAAAUGCGUAGAUAUCAGGAAGAACACCGGUAGCGAAGGCGGCUUCCUGGUCCGUAACUGACGCUGAGGCGCGAAAGCGUGGGGAGCAAACAGGAUUAGAUACCCUGGUAGUCCACGCCGUAAACGAUGGGCACUAGGUGUUGGUUCACGAUGAGUGGAUCAGUGCCGAAGCUAACGCAUUAAGUGCCCCGCCUGGGGAGUACGAUCGCAAGGUUGAAACUCAAAGGAAUUGACGGGGGCCCGCACAAACGGUGGAGCAUGUGGUUUAAUUCGAUGCAACGCGAAGAACCUUACCUGGGCUUGAACUGAAGUGGCUCGCCACCGAAAGGUGGUUUUUCCUUCGGGAACUGCUUCAGAGGUGCUGCAUGGCUGUCGUCAGCUCGUGCCGUGAGGUGUUGGGUUAAGUCCCGCAACGAGCGCAACCCUUGCCCUUAGUUGCCAUCAGGUUAUGCUGGGAACUCUAAGGGGACUGCCCCGGAUAACGGGGAGGAAGGUGGGGAUGACGUCAAGUCCUCAUGGCCCUUACGUCCAGGGCUACACACGUGCUACAAUGGCUGGUACAACGGGAAGCGAUAUCGCGAGAUGGAGCAAAUCCUUAAAAACCGGUCUCAGUUCGGAUUGCAGUCUGCAACUCGACUGCAUGAAGUUGGAAUCGCUAGUAAUCGCGGAUCAG